AUUGAACGCUGGCGGCAGGCCUAACACAUGCAAGUCGACCUUAGUGGCGGACGGGUGAGUAACACGUGGGAACCUACCCAUCAGAGGGGGAUAACUACUGGAAACGGGCGCUAAUACCGCAUACUAUCAGAUGAGCCUAGGUCGGAUUAGCUAGUUGGUGGGGUAAAGGCCUACCAAGGCGACGAUCCGUAACUGGUCUGAGAGGAGGAUCAGUCACACUGGAACUGAUACACGGUCCAGACUCCUACGGGAGGCAGCAGUGGGGAAUAUUGGACAAUGGGCGAAAGCCUGAUCCAGCCAUGCCGCGUGUGUGAAGAAGGUCUUCGGAUUGUAAAGCACUUUAAGUAGGGAGGCGUUACCAACAGAAUAAGCACCGGCUAACUACGUGCCAGCAGCCGCGGUAAUAC
RNAcentral lists this ribosomal RNA (407 nucleotides) under uncultured bacterium. RNAcentral's name for it is "partial 16S ribosomal RNA". It matches the Rfam family "Bacterial small subunit ribosomal RNA", at positions 30 to 526 of the family's 1533-position model. The record is from RNAcentral.